CCCUCAUGGUCGCCGCCAUGACUGAGGGCAGGGGGCGCGGUGGGCGGGGCGAGGGCGGCUCUGCCCAGUUCCGGCCCAAUCACCGUGCGCGGCACCGCCCCUUGAGGCGUGUCCCGCGCUUCCUAUUGGUCCGCGGCCCAACUGGCCACCGCGGCCGCGGCCAAUGGCAGCGCGGAGGGGCGGGGCCUGGGGGAGGCCGCGGGGACCCCGGGACCUCCGGGGGGGGGCCGGGGGGGGCUGGGAACGGCCUGAAAAGGGCGGAAAGGGCCCAAAAAGGGCCCAAAGGGGCCUAAAAAGGGCCCAGAGGGGCUUAAAAGGGCCCCAGGGGGCGGCCUCGAGCCCCAGCGGUCCCCAGGCAAAGUCCAAAGUCCCCAAAGGUGUCCCCCAAAUGGCGCUCGGGCCUCAAAUCGUGGGGUUUAGCCCCAAAAUGGCCCCGGGGGUCCCAAAGUGAGGCUGUGGGGUCCUGAAAUGGUCCCAGGAGUCCCCAAAUGGGUCCAGGGGGUCUCAAAAUGAGUCCAGGGGGUCCCAAAAUGGGCCUGGGGGUCUCAAAAUGGAUCUGGGGGGUCCCAAAAUGGGGUUGGGGGUUCCAAGAUGGGUCUGAGGGGUCUCAAAAUGGGGCUGGGGGUUCCAAGAUGGGUCUGGGGGGCUCCCAAAAUGGGGCUGGAGAGUCCUAAAAUGGGUCUGGGGGGUCCCCAAUUGGGUCUGGGGGCCGGUGCCGGUGCCGCCGCUCAGUGCCGGGUGCCGCAGGGGCCGAGCCGUGCAGCCAGGGGCAGUUCCAGUGCGGGAACGGGGCCUGCAUCUCCGCCAAGUGGGUGUGCGACGGCGGCACCGAGUGCCGGGACGGCUCCGACGAGACCCCCGCCGCCUGCCGUGAGUGCCGGGGCUGGGGCUGGGCUGUACUGGGCUGUACUGGGCCGUACUGGGCCGUACUGGGCUGUACUGGACCGUACUGGGCCGUAGUGGGCCGUACUGGGCCGUACUGGGCUGUACUGGGCCGUACUGGGCCGUACUGGGCCGUACUGGGCCGUACUGGGCUGUACUGGGCUGUACUGGGCAGUACUGGGCCGUACUGGGCCAUACUGGGCUGUACUGGGCCGUACUGGGCUGUACUGGGCUGUGCCGUGCCGUGCCGUCACUCCUCUCCUCUCCUCUUUCUCUCCUUUCUCUUCUUUUCUCAUUCUUCUCUUCCUCUUUUUCUCUUUUCCUUCUCUUUCUUUCCGACUUUUGUGCCCUUCCCCUCCCCUCCCCUCCCCUCCCCUCCCUUCCCUUCCCUUCCCUUCCC
Molecule: long non-coding RNA, 1282 nt
Filed under: Anas platyrhynchos platyrhynchos (common mallard)
Lineage: Eukaryota; Metazoa; Chordata; Aves; Anseriformes; Anatidae
Description: lncRNA (ENSAPLG00000020672.1)
Source: RNAcentral